UCCUACGGGAGGCAGCAGUAGGGAAUCUUCCGCAAUGGACGAAAGUCUGACGGAGCAACGCCGCGUGAGUGAUGAAGGCUUUCGGGUCGUAAAACUCUGUUGUUAGGGAAGAACAAGUGCUAGUUGAAUAAGCUGGCACCUUGACGGUACCUAACCAGAAAGCCACGGCUAACUACGUGCCAGCAGCCGCGGUAAUACGUAGGUGGCAAGCGUUAUCCGGAAUUAUUGGGCGUAAAGCGCGCGCAGGCGGUUCUUUAAGUCUGAUGUGAAAGCCCCCGGCUCAACCGGGGAGGGUCAUUGGAAACUGGGGAACUUGAGUGCAGAAGAGGAAAGUGGAAUUCCAAGUGUAGCGGUGAAAUGCGUAGAGAUUUGGAGGAACACCAGUGGCGAAGGCGACUUUCUGGUCUGUAACUGACGCUGAGGCGCGAAAGCGUGGGAAGCAAACAGGAUUAGAUACCCUGGUAGUCCACGCCGUAAACGAUGAGUGCUAAGUGUUAGGGGGUUUCCGCCCCUUAGUGCUGCAGCUAACGCAUUAAGCACUCCGCCUGGGGAGUACGGCCGCAAGGCUGAAACUCAAAGGAA
This 582-nucleotide ribosomal RNA is filed under the name uncultured bacterium. RNAcentral's name for it is "bacterial SSU rRNA". It matches the Rfam family "Bacterial small subunit ribosomal RNA", at positions 337 to 909 of the family's 1533-position model. The record is from RNAcentral.